RNAcentral lists this ribosomal RNA (253 nucleotides) under uncultured bacterium. RNAcentral's name for it is "partial 16S ribosomal RNA". It matches the Rfam family "Bacterial small subunit ribosomal RNA", at positions 524 to 776 of the family's 1533-position model. The record is from RNAcentral.
UACGGGGGGGGCAAGCGUUGUUCGGAAUUACUGGGCGUAAAGGGCUCGUAGGUGGCCAACUAAGUCAGACGUGAAAUCCCUCGGCUUAACCGGGGAACUGCGUCUGAUACUGGAUGGCUUGAGUUUGGGAGAGGGAUGCGGAAUUCCAGGUGUAGCGGUGAAAUGCGUAGAUAUCUGGAGGAACACCGGUGGCGAAGGCGGCAUCCUGGACCAACACUGACGCUGAGGCGCGAAAGCGUGGGGAGCAAACAGG